RNAcentral lists this transfer RNA (74 nucleotides) under Staphylococcus aureus. Its description in RNAcentral is "tRNA-Met". It matches the Rfam family "tRNA". Rfam says of the family: Transfer RNA (tRNA) molecules are approximately 80 nucleotides in length. Their secondary structure includes four short double-helical elements and three loops (D, anti-codon, and T loops). Lineage: Bacteria; Bacillati; Bacillota; Bacilli; Caryophanales; Staphylococcaceae. The record is from RNAcentral. RNAcentral also lists the same sequence under 4 other names.
GGCGGUGUAGCUCAGCUGGCUAGAGCGUACGGUUCAUACCCGUAAGGUCGGGGGUUCGAUCCCCUCCACCGCCA